GGGGGAGUGGUCAAGUUGGCAACUUGUCCUGGAAGACCCGCAUUUUCUGCGAGGUCGUGGGUUCGAAUCCCGCCUCUCUCA
This is a transfer RNA of Hirsutella minnesotensis 3608, 81 nucleotides long. It matches the Rfam family "tRNA". Rfam says of the family: Transfer RNA (tRNA) molecules are approximately 80 nucleotides in length. Their secondary structure includes four short double-helical elements and three loops (D, anti-codon, and T loops). Lineage: Eukaryota; Fungi; Ascomycota; Sordariomycetes; Hypocreales; Ophiocordycipitaceae. The record is from Rfam.